This 15390-nucleotide long non-coding RNA is filed under the name Gossypium barbadense (sea-island cotton). RNAcentral's name for it is "long non-coding RNA (GBAR_LNC012244)". The record is from RNAcentral. Lineage: Eukaryota; Viridiplantae; Streptophyta; Magnoliopsida; Malvales; Malvaceae.
AUAGAUAAAUAAAUAUUUAUUUAUUUAUUUAACAGUCCACAGUCCAUUUACAGCCAAGGCCCGUUAAGCCCAAAUACCUUAGACCUAUUACCCUAUACCAGUUACAACCUUAACCCAAAUAACUUACAAACCCAAACUUAACCUACAGCAGACCCAAACCCGAAGGCCCAAAUAGUAGGGGCCCAAAUGACUUUCAAAUAGGGUUAGAAACCCUAGCUCUCCUUCUUCUCGAGCCGCCACUGAUUCUAGAAGGUUCAGGGAGGUCUGUCCAACUCCCGAAUCGAGGCCACCAUUCAAGGCUCUACCUCCGUAAUCAGCGCCUCACCGUCACCACGAAUCCUCACCACUAGACUUCAGGCCUCCAUUAACGCCAGCAGCCCUUAAAUCAUCGAGAUUCUCGCGGUCACCUGCAAGAAAAGGAAAGAAAUCAAAGCAAGAUUGCAGUAAAUAUAUUAGAACAGAGUUUGGAAAGAAAUCUUUCGAUUUCUUUCCAAAAUAGGCAGUAAAUCAAGGCUAUAAAGCCUUUUCUCAAAUCUGUAAAAGGACACGCUAAUACACAGAGAAAUAGAGAAAAACACACCACAAAAAGCAUUGUACACUAAACAUUUGCAAUAAUAUUUCAGAAGGUGAUUAUUUUCCAUACUUUAUUUUCUUUUCUCUUUUACGAAUUUAUGAAUCGUUCUUGUUUUUAAAAAAACAGUAACGUUUAAAAGAAAAGAGGUUACCUGUGGAAGGACGAAGGUUUUGAACCUUCAGACACGCAUACAGUGGCGCGUGAGGCGCGUGUGCAAGCAUUGCACUGUAGCCGGAGGCCAGAGCCGGGGACCUCUCUCUUCCCCUCUGCAGAGCGUUUUAGGCCUUUUUUUUUUAAGACCGGUGUAAAAAUGAUUUUUAAGCUUAAAGUUUGGCUUAUAUAGCCCUUUCAAAACGGUCCCAUUUUAGCUUAGUCUGAUAAGCUUAAAACGACGACGUUUUAAGGCCCCAGGAUCUGCGCGUUGACCCGAUUACCCGGGAAAGAUCCGCGUGUUUUUGAGAAUUGGGUUAAUUACCCAAUUAGUCCCUCCACCUUUUUUAUGUUUACAAUUUUGUUUUGUUUUACUUAUGAUUUAGCCUUGAUAUUUUGUUUCAGUUUUAAUUUAGUCCUUGUAGUAACUGUUUUAAGUCCUGGAUUUAAAACGAUGCCGUUUAGGGACAAGGGAAAAUUUCCCGAUGAGUCCCUAGGGUUUUAAUGGCCGUUUCAAUUAGGUCUGAUCUCAGUUAUUUUCUUAUUAAAUUAGCCACUGACUUUUAUUUAUGUUCAAUUUAGUCCCUUUUAUCCCUUUUAAUCUAUUUAUAAUCUAUUUAUUUUUAACUUUAUACAUAUACUAUUAUAUUUUAAUAUGAAUAUACGUAUUAUAUAUCUUAUAAUUAUUUACUUAUAUUUUAUUAUAUUAUAUUACUUCAUAUCUUUCUAUUAUUAUAUUAAUAUAUAUUUUAACAUAUAUCAUUACUUAUUAUUUAUUAUAGUAUAUUUUUAUCACAUAAUGUUUAUAUAUCUUUAUACUAUUUAUUAUUUUACAUUUUAACAAUAUAUUAUUUCAUAUUGUAAAUUAUAAUUAUUUUAUAUUUUAUACCUUUAUAUAUUUUUAUCUAUAUAUUAUUAUCAUUAAAGGUUUUAACUUGUAUUAUAUACGUAUCUUUAUUUAUAUGUUAAUAAUUACUUUACUCAUAUUCUAUUAUUACACAUUUUGAAGAUAUUAUAAUAUUAUAAUUUAUAUAUUACGUAUAUUUCAUCAUUAAUUACUUACUUCAUAUUAUUCUAAACUUAUACUUAUAUAUAUUAUAGUUAUUUUAUUAUAAAUAUAAAUUCUUUUACACAUUUGAUAUUUUAUAUACCAAUAUAUUUUAUAUUUUUAUAUAAUUAUUAUUCUUAUAAAUAUAUUUUUAUUAUAUAUUAUAUUUUAAAUAUGUUAUUAAAUAUCACAUUUUUUUUAUAUAGGCUCAUUCUAUUUAUCAAUUGUUUAUAUUAUACAUAUAUUUUUAAAACUUAUGUUUUUAUUAUUAUACAAUAUUUGCUUUUACUUUAGAAUUAAUAUAUUAUUGCUAUGUUAGGUAUUUUAUAUGUUAUGUAAUAUCUUAGACUUUUAUAAUUUAUUUUCAAAUGCAUAUUUUUUCUAUAUAUAUAUAUGUGUCAAAAUUGUAUAUCAUGCAUCAUUUAUAUGUUUAAAUAUAUGUUGAAUUACAUGUUUAUGGGUUUUUACCUAUUCUUCUUAAAUAUAUAUCGCGUUUUAUGUAUAUUUUUCUUUUUUAAAAUUUAUCAUGUUUUAUUUCUUAUAUGUUAAUUAGUGUAUGAUAUUUAUGCUGUUGUGCUUUUAUUUACCUAUUAUUAUAACAUGUUAUCUCGUAUGUUAUGUUAAUAUGCUCCUUCAUGCAUCGGUUUUAAAAACGGGACUCCAAAGUUUUCAAAAAUAAAAAGGCAAUGCUUGGUGUUUGGAAGCUUCGAGAAAAGUAGUGCCCUAACUUAUUGGGUUGCAAUUUUUCUCGUUGAGUUCUAAUAGUCAAGUACCCUUCUAAGUUUUUAAUAUUUUCAAAAUACGAGCAACUGUCUUGGAAUUUCAAAGCAUUGUGUCCUAACUUACUGGAUGUGGCGUUUUGUCGUUUCGAGAUAGGGAUUUCCAAAAAAGGCUAACCUAAUGUCAAUAUUUUGAUACAAGUGAACCCCAAUUUCUAAAAUCAAAAUAUUUUAAAGAUGAUUGCAUCUUAAAAUUUUUAAAUUUCCGACCUUAAAGACAUUUCAUAAAUUAUUAGGUACCAAUUUUUGGGCGUUACGAGGGUGCUAAUCCUUCCUUGUACGUAACCGACUCCCGAACCCGUUCUUUUUAUUUCGUAGACCAAAACUAAUGAUUUUAAAACAAAAUGUUUUAAAGGUGAUCCAAUCACACCUAAAAAGUUUGGUGGCGACUCCCAUUUUCGUUUUUCUCAAAGUCGAUUCCCAUUUUCCAAAACUCGAUUUAAAAAUGGUUUCGACAGCUUGGCGACUCCACUGGGGAAUAAUAAGAGAGUCAAGCUGUGUAAUUGAUUAUCUCUUGUCUUAAUGUCGGAAAUUAAAAAUUUUAAAAUUUAAUCCUCUUUGCAUUACAUGUGUUUGUAUUAUUGCAUGUGUUGCUAUAUUCUGAUACGCAUCUGCAUGAUCGUUGUGGUCACACCCUUAAGUGGGAGUGAGAAACUACGCCUUCGUGAGGUUUUUGCCUCCGUGCAGGAUAGUAGAUCACUUUCGGGAUACAUCCGUACCUGUGGUUUCGUGAGAUUUCCAUCUCCGUGUAACCAUAGGGGAAUGUAUUCCCCUGAACUGAGCUCGAUUCAAAUGAGCCUAUAAUGGGUGAGAAUCGAGGAAUCUGCUGGUUCGGGUACCUCAAACUUUAGAAACAACCUCAUAUAGAAAAAUCGUAAGAGCCCAACUUAGUUAGAGUAAAACUUUAGAUAUUACCCUUAUAAAUUAUUGUUGAGAUUUAUUGAUAUCAUGUGAUACUAAUUAUUUCUUUUCUUUUGUUUUGUGCAUGUCAUUUUGCAUUUAAAAGGUAUCGAUUCACGGUCAGUUUCUAAGAGAGAACGGACUUCUUGAUAGAGUGGGGGGCAACGCCAACGUCCAUAGAUGGUCUGAGCAAACUCAACUAGAAAAGGGAAAUAAUAUAGCUGUGGGAUACGUGUCGGAGCUGUCAGAUUACACUCGUAUUAGUGUCACGCAGAAUAAUCUCCAAGAGCUUAAGGAAAUUUGGGAUCAGUGGGGCAAAAAGAUCAAGCAGUUAUUCUACGAUAAUUACGAAGACUUACCUUACUUGCUAGAUAUUCAGGUAGACGAGCACUUAUUCCGAGCCCUUGCUCGGUUUUGGAACCUGGCGUACAGUUGUUUCACUUUUGGGGAAGUAGACUUGGUACCUACUGUGGAGGAGUACACUGCCUUAUUUCGUUGUCCCAAGUUUCAGAAUGAUAGGAUCUAUUCUCGAGCUACUUGUGUCCCUACCUUUUGGAAGAAAUUGAUGAUUAUUACGGGGAUGAGCGAGCAGUGGAUCACGGCUAGAAUUAAAGAGAAGGGUGAGUGCAAGUACAUUUCGUGGGACGCUUUGAAAAAUCUGAUUCUAACACACCCUGAUGAGACGAAGAAGGUAGAUGUUUUUGCUUUAAGUUUGUAUGGACUGAUGGUUUUUCCUAGGGCUUUGGGAUAUGUAGACAAGGCAACCACGUAUCUUUUUCAUCGACUCAGUAAAAGGGUCACUUUCGUCCCUGCGAUUUUGGCGGAAACAUUCAGGUCCUUAGGCGCAUGUAAGAGGGCUGGUGCAGGCAGGUUUGUUGGUUGUGCUCAGUUACUUUUAGCUUAGUUCUACAGUCAUUUCUGAUUGAUAGAUAGGGUGGUUUUUCGGGUCUUCUUUGAGGAUUAUUCACCGUUGAAGGACCUAAUAGCUUCAACUAGGAGAGUUGAUGUUCCAGAAGAGAAUUGGAUAGCGCUACUUCAGAACCUUCAGUCGAAAGAUGUUGAGUGGAGGGCUCUGUAGAUGAUUCCUAGUGAGAUUCUUUACCGAUGCGGCAGUUUUGAUUGGGUCCCUCUGUUGGGAAUUUGAGGUGCCAUUGGUUAUGCCCCUUUGCUCGUGCUAAGGCAGCAUGGGUUGAGACAGUUCGUACCAGUGUCUCAUGGGUUGGCUCAAAGUGAAUUUGUAUACAGAGGAGCCGAUUACAAGAGGAAGGUUAGCGAAGUUUCUAGUGCCUGGAACAAGACUUUUCGGUUGAAAGGAGUAGAUAUUAGCCCUGCUACGACUCCGGAGUAUGUUGAAUGGAGAGGCAGAAGGAUUAAUGAUAACAUCCCUAAGCCAAGCGUGGAAUGAGCUCGACCGAUAGAAGAAUAUUUGCAAGUGAUGCCCUCGGAGUUAGAAAUUAUGAAGUAAGAGUUCGAGAGAAAGAACUUGGAGCUCUAAAAGAGGAUAACAAAGCUUGAAGAAGAAAAGAUGUACUUGAGUUUAGACGUCGACGUUCAAAGGAUGGAGGUCGAGAAAGAGAGAAAAGAAAAGAGGAAGAUUGAGAAAGAUCGAGAUGAUCUAAAAAAGCAUUACAAAAAGGCACAAGUAUCCUUGAGGAGAGCGAGAGUAGGAGGGUCUUCAGAUCAAUUGCAGAAAGAGGUCCAAGAGGAAAAAGCUAGAGCCGAGUAUUGAGAGAGGAAGUUCCAAGAGAUGCGAUCGUAGAAUUUGGCAUUAGAGGAAGAGAAUAAAGGGUUGAAGACCAAGGUAACUGAGCUUGAAAGAUCCUUCGUUGGCAUCGAAACCAUGAUCCUACGAUCGAGUUAAAAGAGCUAAGAAGUAAGGUUGAAAAUUUGGAAGUGGCAUUGCAUGAUGGUGAACUUCAGAUUGAGCAGCUCGAGGUGCGAGAAGAUUAUCUAAAGGGAGAGGUUCAGCAAUCUAGAGGACAGGUCAGAGAAAUGGAUUACGUCAUUGGUGAAGCCUUAGCCCAGAUUCGAGAGGUUGCUGAAUAUGUUCGAGACUUAGCAGUACGAGCUGAUGCUUUGAGUAUGAUGUAUGAAUCAACGUCUGAUAAAGGUCGAGAGUUAGCCCUUUUGUUAGAAAAAGUUAGAACUUUGAGCAUUAGGGCAAAGGCGUAUGUGUAAUCCAUUUAUAUGUAAAGAUAUUUUUUUUCUAAAUAAAGUUUUCUAAAUGAGAUUGAAUCGAGAUCGAUGCCUUUUUGCAUUCAUGCAUUUGCAUUACAUCAUAUCAUAUGCAUUCAAAGUUAUAGAAAGACCCUAAUUAGUUAAAGUUUACUUUUAGAGAGGUAGAAAAGAAAAUAUAGAAAUCACACAUCCUUACGGCACUCGCACUAAAACUAAGAGUAUGGAUCAAAGGUUCGAACAAUUGCAAAAGGAUAUGCAAGACCAAUUGCAAGAACAGUUGGCCAAAAUAUAGAAUGACAUGAGGGAGCAAAUGCUAGAUGCUCAGAGGAAUAUGAUGGCUGAAAUGGCUCAGCUGUUAAGGGUCACUGAUAAAGGAAAAGCUCCCAUGGCAAUCACUAAAGAGGAGAAUGAGGGUCCUCCUUCGGGUUUUACUCCGCCUCAUGUGCCACUGCAAAUCGAGGCACCUCCUAAAAGGCCAUCUGUCACUGUGAGACCUCAACAUGGGCCGGUUAAUGCUGGAAUCCCCGUGAAUUUCCCAUCUGGGUCGGGAAAUAAUUUAGGCGAUAGCCUGAUCAACCCUAUCACUCCUGAUCUGGAUCUAAUGGAGAAGGAAAGAAUGGCAACUGAAUCUUCAAAAUAGUUGGAGGAUCAUUACAAGUGGUUGGAGGAGAAGUUUAGGGUUUUAGAAGGCGCUGGUAAUCAUUAUGGGAUUGAUGCCAAAGACUUAAGUUUAGUUCCAGACUUGGUACUUCCUCACAAAUUCAAGAUGCCGGAGUUCGAAAAGUACAAUGGGACUACUUGCGCAGAGGCACAAAUAACAAUGUUUUGUAGGAGAAUGAUUGGGUAUGUGAACAAUGAUCAACUAUUGAUCCAUUGUUUUCAAGAUAGCUUAAUAGGAGUAGCGGCUAGGUGGUACAAUUAGUUGAGCCGUGCAAGAAUCAGUUCAUGGAGAGAUCUUGCACAAGCCUUCAUGCAACAAUAUAACUGUGGCUGAUAUGACGCCAGACAGGAUCACGCUUCAAAAUAUGGAGAAAAAGCCUAAUGAAAGUUUUAGGCAAUACGCACAACGAUGGAGGGAGGUGGCAAUGCAAGUACAACCACCACUGUUAGAAAAGAAGACCACCAUGUUAUUUAUCAACACUUUAAAGGCGCCGUUCAUCACUCACAUGAUUGGAAGCACCACGAAAAGUUUCGCGGAUAUAGUUAUGGCAGGAGAGAUGAUUGAGAACGCCAUAAGGGGCGGUAAAAUUGAGGGGAAAUAGCUAAAAGAUCGGCAUCAAUGAGAAAGAACAACGAGGUGAACAACAUGAAUAGCCUCAACUCGAGGACAAUCACAAUUGGUCAACCCAAAGUAGCUGAGGUCGAGCAACAAAGUACUCGAAGACAGGAAUCGGGCACAAGACAGAAUUCGGAAAGGAUACAAUUCACGCCUAUCCCUGUGAUGUAUCGUGAGAUUUAUCAAAGCUUAUACGAUGCAUAUGCCAUUGCACCAUUUCACUUAAAACCACUACAGCCACCGUACCCCAAAUGGUAUGAUGCGAAUGCUAAAUGCGAAUAUCACGCGGGAAUACCGGGGCAUUCGAUUGAAAACUGCACCGGAUUCAAGAAGGUUGUGGAGAGGCUUAUCAAGAUGGGGGUUGCGAAAUUUGAUAGUACCCCUAAUAUUGAAAAUCCGUUACCAGAUCAUAGCAAUCAAGGAGUAAAUGCCAUCAAUGAAACAAGGGAAGAAAGAAUCAAGGAAGAUAUUGCUGAGGUGAAGACACCCAUGAAAGUAAUAUGGGAGGAGAUAGUGAAGAAAGGUAUGUUGACCUCUGGAAAAGGUAGAAGAGGAAUAGAGAAUUAUUGUGAAUUCCCUGGAGAUGUGGAUCAUAUGAUCCAAAAUUGUGAGAAGUUCAAGAUCAUGGUGCAAGGCCUUAUGUUUAACAAAGAGCUACAGAUUUUUGAAGGUAGUUCUUACAAAAGACAAAUAUGUGUGCUGGAAAAUGAACGACAAGGAACCAGCCGGCCAAGAAUUAUUAUUUUCUUACUAGGGAAUAAUGAAGUGGGGGCGUAAACCAGGCCCAGGGUUGUCAUCCAUAAACCCAAUUAUUUCCCUUACAAGGAUGGCAAGAGGGUGUCAUGGAGUUAUGAUUGCAGUGUAACAGUACCUAAAGGGGAGAGUAUAGCGAGUGCAUCUAGGGGAGUGCAAAAUGAAGGUUCCCAUACGCGGAGUGGGAAACGUUAUGAUACAGGGGGCGUCUGAGUGGAACCCACAAAGACAAAAGGUGUCGAGGUUGAGAAGGAGAAAGAGACCGAAGUACCCAUCAAUGAGCCGGUGAAGGAAGAGGAGGCUAAGGAGUUCCUAAAGUUCCUUAAGCAUAGCGAGUAUAGUGUGGUCGAGCAGUUGCGUAAGCAGCCAGCGUGUAUAUCAGUAUUAGCCCUACUUCUGAGUUCUGAGGUACAUCGGGAUGCAUUAUUGAAGGUGCUUAACGAAACAUAUGUCACCCACGACAUAUCCGUUAACAAGUUAGACCGGUUGGUAAAUAACACCAGUGCUGACAAUUUCAUCUACUUCAAUGAUGAUGAAAUUCCAACUAGGGGCAUAGGGUCAACCAAAGCCUUGCACAUCACUACUCGAUGCAAAUGAUACACGCUGCCAAGUGUACUCGUUGUAAUGGGUCUGCUUUGAACGUCCUUCUAUUAUCCACAUUGAACAGAUUACCCAUUGAAAGUUCGCAUAUGAAAACAUGUCACAAUGUGGUAAGAGCUUUUGAUGGAACUGAAAGAAAAGUGAUGGGACGAAUCGACAUCCCUUUAGAAAUUGGGCCAAAUACAUAUGAAGUUGAUUUCUUGGUAAUGGAUAUCAAGCCCUCCUAUAAUUAUUUAUUGGGGAGACCAUGGAUACACUCGGCAGGAGCGGUGCCCUCCUCAUUGCACCAAAAUUGAAGUUAGUGACAGAUAGACGGUUAAUAACCAUCAAUACGGAGGAAGAUAUUAUAGCAACAGUCACUAGCAAGACCCCUUACGUCGAGGCAAAUGAAGAGGCUAUUGAGUGUUCUUUCCGCUCUUUAGAAAUCAUCAAUGCAACCUUCAUUUUGGAAGGAAGUGAGGUGUCGGUACCCAAAAUGUCUAGGUCCACAAGGAUGGCCUUGCAAAUGAUGACGUGGAAGGGAGCAUUGCCAGGAAAAGGAUUAGGAAGACGGUUGCAAGGAGGGAUUCAAAUCCCAAAACUGAUUGAGAAGAAGGAUCGCUUUGGUUUGGGCUUCAAGUUAGACCAUAAGCACAAGAGGCAAGAAAUUGAGAGGCGCCAAGCGAGAAGAAAGGCGCGUUUGAACGGAGGAGAAGUGAAGUGGGAACCGAUGACAUUCCCACCUAUAUCCAAAUCCUUUAAGUCAGGAGGAUUACUGGUAGAAGAAAGUCAUCAGAUUAAUACUGUACAUGAUGAGGGAUUGGAGCAAGGAAACCUCGAGGGCAUUCGCCCUUACGAACCGGAGAGCUCUCUGAACAAUUGGACUGCGGAGGACCUUCCUGUAGUCUUUAGGAACUUUUCAGAGUAAUUCUCGAAACAUGCCUGUUACUCUAGAGCCUAGGAGUAGUAAGAUUACGUUUGUGAAAAUAGGCUUAUGUUCAUCUAUUAUUAUUUAAAUAAAACAUAACUUUUAUCAAUUUAAAUGAGUAUUGUAUCAUUUUUAUCAACUAAUAUUCUUUUAAAUUUUGGCAAUUAUUAUUCUUUUAUUCAUAGCACAUAAACAAUCAUUCUUAGAUUCAUUCAUUCUUUGUAUAUUCUUUCAUACCCCCACAGGUCCCUAGAUAUCAAUGAUAUGAGCACUGAUACUGCAGCUCCUGAUUUCUCUUGCGAACAAGACAUGUGUUUAGAGGAACCUCAGGAUUUUGAAGAUGUUCAAGAUUGUGACGUAUCUCUUGAUCUGUUAAGAAUGGUAAAGCAGGAGGAGAAACAAAUCAUGCUACAUGAGAAAGAGGCAAUAGAGAAUAUAGCCCUAGAGGAAGGGAAGGAGUUGAAAAUUGAAACACUGAUUACCGAGGAUACAAGGCAUGGUCUGGUUGAGUUGCUUCAAGAGUUCAAGGAUAUCUUCGCCUGGUCAUAUCAGGAUAUGCCUAGAUUGAGUAUUGACAUUGUAGUACAUCGUCUUCCGAUAAGACAGGAUUGUAAGCCUGUCCAACAGAAGUUACGAAGAAUGAGGCCAGAUAUUGUUCUAAAAAUAAAGGAUGAAGUCAAGAAGCAGUUCGAUGCAGGAUUCUUGCAGGAAGUGAAGUACUUCGAAUGGGUAGCUAACAUUAUACCAGUUCCUAAGAAAGAUGGAAAUGUACGAAUGUGUGUUGAUUACAGAGAUUUAAAUAAAGCUAGCCCCAAAGAUAAUUUCCCUCUGCCACACAUAGACACUUUAGUGGACAACACAACAGGAUAUUCGUUGUUUUCCUUCAUGGAUGGUUUCUCAGGAUACAAUCAGAUAAAGAUGCAUCCAGAGGACAUGGAUAAAACCACCUUCAUAACCUUGUGGGGCACCUUCUGUUACAAAGUAAUGCCAUUUGGACUAAAGAAUGCAGGGGCAACAUACCAACGAGCCAUGGUAAACUUAUUCCAUGACAUGAUGCAUAAGGAUAUUGAGGUAUACGUUGAUGAUAUGAUUGCCAAGUCGCGAAUAGAGAAAUAGCAUAUUGAGGUCUUGAGAAGAUUGUUCUUGAGAUUGAGAAAAUUUCAAUUGAAGCUCAAUCCAGCAAAGUGUACUUUUGGAGCUAGAUCGGAAAAACUAUUGGGUUUCGUAGUCAGUGAAAAGGGAAUAGAAGUUGAUUCAGAAAAAGUCAGGGCAAUACAAGAUUUGCCUCCACCACAUACUCAGAAGGAAGUUCGAGGAUUCCUAGGAAGGUUGAAUUACAUCGCUCGGUUCAUUUUACAACUAACCGAGAAAUGGGAUCCUAUCUUUCGCCUCCUCAGAAAGCACAAUCAAGGUACUUGGGAUGAGGAGUGUCAAAAUGCUUUUGAAAAGGUCAAGUAGUAUUUGUUGAAUGCUCUGGUAUUAUCUCCACCAAGCCCAGAUAAACCGUUAAUACUGUACUUGUUAGUGUUCAGUAAAUCUAUGGGAUGUGUACUUGGUCAGCAUGACGAAUCAGGGAAAAAGGAAAAGGCAAUUUAUUAUCUCAGUAAGAAAUUUACUGACUGUGAAAUGAGAUAUCCACCAAUUGAAAAGUUGUGCUGUGCGCUGAUUUGGACAACUCGGAGAUUAAGACAGUACAUGCUAUACCAUACUACUUGGCUCAUCUUAAAGCUUGAUCCAUUGAAAUACAUGAUGGAGUCAACGGCUCUAAAUGAGAGAAUGGCGAGAUGGCAAAUUUUGCUUUCAGAGUUUGAUAUAGUCUACAUAAGUCAGAAGGCUAUAAAAGGAAGUGCGGUAGCAGACUUCUUGGCCAGUAGGGCUCUAGAGGAUUAUGAGCCAUUAAAUUUUGAUUUUCCAAAUGAGGAGUUAAUGUGUAUAGCAACGACCAAAGAUUCUCCUUGGAAGCUAAAUUUUGAUGGGGCUUCUAAUGCAGUCGGAAAUGGAAUUGGGGCAGUUUUGGUAUCCCCGAACGGCGAUCAUUACCUGUUCACGUGCAAGUUGGAUUUUGAUUGCACGAACAAUAUGGCUGAGUAUGAAGCAUGCAUCAUGGGACUUCAAGCAGCUAUAGAGCGAGGUAUAAAAACCCUAGAAGUAUACGGGGAUUUUGCGUUGGUAAUUUAUCAGCUUAGAGGUGAAUAGGAGACAAGGGACCCUAAAUUGAUCAAUUAUCGAAAGGUAGUUUUGGGGUUACUUGAGAAGUUUGAUGACAUCACCUUCAAUUAUCUCCCACGAGAUGAAAAUCAGAUGGCAGAUGCUUUAGCAACCUUGGCCUCAAUGAUUAAGGUGAAUAAAGAGGAAGAGAUGAGACCAAUUCAAAUGAGCGUCUACGAGGCUCCAGCUCAUUGUUGCAAUAUUGAGAAGGAAGAAAAGGAUGAUAACCCUUGGUAUCAAGAUAUAUUACGAUAUGUAAGAGAUCGUAAAUACCCUGAACAGGCCAAUGAAAAUGACAAACGAACUUUGAGAAGGUUAACUUGCGACUAUGUCUUGGACGAAGAUAUCCUGUACAAGAGAAGGAAAGACCAAGUACUUUUGAAAUGUGUCGUUGCUGUGGAAGCUAAGCUAAUUUUAGAAGAAGUUCAUGAAUGUGUAUGUAGGACGCAUGCAAAUGGGUUCGCGAUGGCAAGGCAAAUCAUGAGGUUUGGCUAUUAUUGGGCCACUAUGGAAGGGGACUGUAUCAACUAUACCAAGAAAUGCCAUAAGUGUCAGAUUUAUGGGGACAAAAUUCAUGUACCACCUUCACCUUUGCAUGUUAUGACCUCUCCAUGGCCCUUUUCCAUGUGGGGCAUGGAUGUCAUUAGACCAAUAUCAUCGAAAGCUUCGAAUGGAUAUUGGUUUAUCUUCGUGGUAAUUGACUACUUUACAAAAUGGGUAGAGGCCGCUUCUUACGCGAAUGUUACUAAGUCAGCUGUGAGUCGAUUCUUAAAGAAAGAGAUUAUUUAUCGGUAUGGAAUGCCUGAAAGGAUCAUAUCCGACAAUGCAUUGAACUUGAACAACAAAACAAUAGUAGAGGUUUGCAACCAGUUCAAGAUCAAGCAUCACAAUUCUUCUCCUUAUCGUCCAAAAAUGAAUGGGGCAGUGGAGGCCGCCAACAAGAACAUUAAGAAAAUAGUGGGGAAAAUGACUGAGACCUAUAGAGAUUGGCAUGAGAAGUUACCGUUUUCACUCUUGGCCUAUCGAACAUCUGUCAGAACCUCUACUGGGGCAACCCCAUUCUCGUUAGUUUAUGGGAUGGAAGCAAUGUUACCUAUUGAAGUAGAAAUACCUUCUCUUCGAAUUUUGAUGGAGAUAAGGUUAGAUGAAGCUGAAUGGGUUCAAUCCCGAUAUGACCAGUUGAACUUGAUUGAGGAAAAGAGGCUAAGAGCCAUUCGACAUGGUCAGAUGUAUCAGAAGCGAAUGAUGCGAGCUUAUGACAAGAAAGUUCGACCAAGAGAGUUCCACGAAGGAGACCUUAUACUGAAAAAGAUCCUUCCUAUUCAAAAAGACUUUAGGGGGAAAUGGAUGCCGAAUUGGGAGGGGCCGUACGUCGUGAAGAAAGCUUUCUCUGGCGAUGCAUUGAUCUUAACGAAAAUGGAUGGGAAAAGUUUACCCAAUCCAGUGAACUCAGACUCAGUUAAAGAAUACUUUGUCUAAAGGAGAAGAGAAUCCAAGGUGAAAACCCGCAAAGGGUGCCUUGAGAUUUAAAAAAAAUAAAAAAAUAAAAAAAACGAAGAGGCCAAGGUGAAAACCCACAAAGGGCGCCUUGUGACCAAAGGGGUUUUAAGUUGAAAACCCGAAAGGGCGACUCAAAUUUUGAAGCAUCCGGUAAUCUUACUCAACAAAGAACGAAGAACGUUGCAUACUGGGGCAUCGACAGAGUACUUUGAAUCUUCUAAACACAUGCCUUCAUGAAGUUGAUGUAUAAGCGCUCAAGCGGCGAUAUCUAGGGUAUCUAAUUUUGGCUUGUUUGCUAUUUUUAGAUUUUUUUUUCUCUUCUCAAAGAUAGGCUUUCAGAUUAAUUUCCUUUGUAUCUUUUUCGAUAAUUCAUUCAAAUCCAAUUAUUCUUAAAGUUUAUUCAUCUUUUAUUUUUCUUUAAGUAUGUUGCAUUGAAAUAAUGAUAGAUGAACUAAAUAUGUUCACAAACGAAGUUUUGCGCAUUACUCUGGAAUUUCUAGAUAAUACAAGAAACUAAAACAGGACAAUUGUUCGAGAAAUUCACGUAAGGAAUGAAGGAAUUCAAGGAAUUUCUUUCUUCCAGUCCAAAAUGAAAAUGGACAAAACUAAUGAUUCAAUUCUAAGGAAAGAUUAUCUUACAGACAUCCUCAGUGGAUCGUAGCAUUGGAGGAGGGAGUACAGGCCUACAGGCUGGGCAAGAAUAAUACUUUGAGAAAAGAAAAGACAAAUGAAGGAAUGAGUGGUGACGUCUAGGAUAGGAGUCAUGUUCACAACAUUUUGCAUCGUAACAUGUUUAAUUAGGAACAUUCGACUCACUUCGAUCAUAGCAUCCUAAUUAUCAGGCAUAAUUAUUCUACAGGUUAUCAAAGACGACGCGCCUUAAUCCCCUAAGCAGUAGGGUAAUAGGCCGCAGCAUAGCAGAUCUGGCUGAAAGAAGAUCCAAGAUGGUUUGGCAUCCUUGUGCUUACAAGGAGAAAAUCGAAGACAUAGCUGAUUUGGCUUUCACGUAUUUACGAUGAAGCAAAUCUAAGAUGAUUUGGCAUCUCUGUAAUGUCAGAGAACAAAUCGAAGUCUGGCAUCUCCACUUCAACGGGAAGCAGAUACAUAGCAGAUCUCACCUUCAGAUGUUUAUACUGAAGCAGAUCCAAGAUGAUUUGGCAUCCUUGUGCUUAUAAGAAGCGAAUCGAAGACAUAGCUGAUUUGGCUUUCACGUGUUUACGAUGAAGCAAAUCUAAGAUGAUUUGGCAUCUCUGUAUUGUCAGAGAACAAAUCAAAGUCUGGCAUCUCUACUUUAACGGGGAGCAGAUACAUAGCAGAUCUCACCUUCAGAUAAUUUCACUGAAGCAAGAUCCAAGAUGAUUUGACAUUCUUGUGCUUACAAGGAACAAAUCGAAGACAUAGCUGAUUUGGCUUUCACAUGCUUACGAUGAAGCAAAUCUAAGAUGAUUUGGCAUCUCUGUAUUGUCAGAGAACAAAUCGAAGAAGCAGAUUUGGUGUCUCUGUGUUCGGCGGAGAGCAGGUCGAAGAUAUCAACAUGAUAGUCAUAAGUUUAUAGAAGCAGAUUGAAGACCAUGAUUUGAAGAGACUGGUCAAAUUUGGUCUUUUUAAAUCUUUGCUCAAUUCCCGUUAUACAGCAAUGAGCAAAGAGGGGCAGCUGUAGUAGCCCAAACUUGAUCGGGCUUGAAUAAAACAAAAGAAAAUAGAUAAAUAAAUAAAUAUUUAUUUAUUUAACAGUCCACAGUCCAUUUACAGCCAAGGCCCGUUAAGCCCAAAUACCUUAGACCUAUUACCCUAUACCAGUUACAACCUUAACCCAAAUAACUUACAAACCCAAACUUAACCUACAGCAGACCCAAACCCGAAGGCCCAAAUAGUAAGGGCCCAAAUGACUUUCAGAUAGGGUUAGAAACCCUAGCUCUCCUUCUCCUCGAGCCGCCACUGAUUCUAGAAGGUUCAGGGAGCGUCUGUCCAGCUCCCGAAUCGAGGCCACCAUUCAAGGCUCUGCCUCCGUAAUCAGCGCCUCACCGUCACCACGAAUCCUCACCACCAGACUUCAGGCCUCCAUUAACGCCAACAGCCCUUGAAUCAUCGAGAUUCUUGCGGUCACCUGCAAGAAAGGAAAGAAAUCAAAGCAAGAUUGCAGUAAAUAUAUUAGAACAGAGUUUGGAAAGAAAUCUUUCGAUUUCUUUCCAAAAUAGGCAGUAAAUCAAGGCUAUAAAGCCUUUUCUCAAAUCUGUAAAAGGACACGCUAAUACACAGAGAAAUAGAGAAAAACACACCACAAAAAGCAUUGUACACUAAACAUUUGCAAUAAUAUUUCAGAAGGUGAUUAUUUUCCAUACUUUAUUUUCUUUUCUCUUUUACGAAUUUAUGAAUCGUUCUUGUUUUUAAAAAAACAGUAACGUUUAAAAGAAAAGAGGUUACCUGUGGAAGGACGAAGGUUUUGAACCUUCAGACACGCGUACAGUGGCGCGUGAGGCGCGUGUGCAAGCAUUGCACUGUAGCCGGAGGCCAGAG